AUUUCUAAGACGAGUCCCAAAUAGGACGAAACGCGCUUACUGGAU
Schistosoma rodhaini is the source of this 45-nucleotide non-coding RNA. The record is from Rfam. NCBI's taxonomy places the organism in Eukaryota, Metazoa, Platyhelminthes, Trematoda, Strigeidida, Schistosomatidae.